AAUCCAACAUGGGCUCAAACCCACGAACUGUGAGAUCAUGACCUGAGCCGAAGUCGGACGCUCAACCAACUGAGCCACCCAGGGACCCCAAGGUGAUGAAGCUUCUAAUUCGGAGAUGAGAAUCCCAGACACCCAGUAGGACCCGUCAGGGAACGCUGGUGAGUAAAGGCAGAAGAGGGAAGAAACGCAGAACGGAGCCCUGUGGUGGCACACUUCUCUUUCUGGGGACGACACAGGCUCAGCUUCUGUGUUUAGAAAGGAAAGCUGCAUCAGGAUUUUGUCGUGAAAUCUUACAAUGGAGCCAUACCAAUUCCUCUUUUCCUAUCCAGUCCCCCUCCCCAAGCUCCGGUCCCCCAUUCUUUUGAGACCCAAACACUAUGGCUUCUGGACUUCACUCCCUCCUGUGGAAUUCUAGCCCUCACUCUCUGAGCCACGCAUAUGAAUUUACACUGUUUUGUGAAUUCUGUAUUUACGGGAACUUUCGAAUCACUGUCAAAAUGUCUUCAUGGUACCCCAGCUGGAUCGUGAGCUUGUGAACUCUCUCAGCACAAUGCCCCGUCUCAAGGCUUUGUCCUCCCUCGACAUGCACAGGGCAGGAGGGCUGGCCUGCACUUAGUACCCACGCUAUGGCAGAGGCUCUGUGUCCUUAUUCAUGGCUCUGUAAGCCAGGCCCACGCUGAAGAUGAGAAGACAGUGUCAGCAAGCCCACCUGGCCUGGCCCACUCAUAAAGGGAGGAGCUAUAUGCUUCUGACUGCCUUUGACUUUGCUGCCCUUUCCAUUAUUAUUGUCUUUGUCACGUAAGGCUGCCAUAACAGAAACGUCAUAGAGUGAGUGGUUUGAACCACAGACGUUUACUUAUCAUAGUCCCGGCAGCCGGAAGCCCGAGGUGAAGGUACUGGCAAACCUGGUGUCCGGAAAGGAGGCAUUAUGACCACAUCAGGGGAGAUCAUUGGGCAUCUAUCUCGCUUUUGCCAUGUAGAAACUGUCCAAAGUUUCUGUUUAAUCUCCCAGUUUUGCCUGAAGCCACGAAGUCGACCUCAGAGCAGAGCCUCUCUCCAGCCCUUACUGCCUAAAUGAAAACCAUGUGCUUGUGUGGGUUUUCUUUGUUUUUCUUUUUAAAGUUCUUCUCCAUUAUUUAAUGAAACUAUUUAGUAAUGCAUAGGUCUUAAAUAAUAGGGUUCACAUGGGCUGUUAUCAAUUAAGUCACAUUAACACAAACACUUGUUCUCAGAAGCAAAUUUAACUCUGGACAUGUUUAAAGCCGAUUGUAACACCCUGGAGGAAGUUAGAAACUCUUUGAAUUUUUACAAGUCAGACUAUACAGGACAAUACAUAAAAAUAAUAUGUGUAUGAAAUACUUAAUACUUGUACAGCUCCCAUCCAUCCUUUCCUCCUUCCAGGAAGGCAAUUUAUCAACCUAAACUCCCAUCCUGGGUAGUGUUACUUCUGACCCCGGUUUAGCGGUAGAAAAAUCUAAUUCACACUGGAGGUAUGUCACAUCCCAGAACUCGGGAUGCAAAUCACAAAUCUGUAUGCCGAGUGGGUUGUGGAGAUGCCUCUUCUUUCCACCUGCCAGGAGUUAAGAUUGUCUGGAAAAGAAGAAUUGCAAGGGUAUGACUUGAAUUCUGAAAAUCAUGCCUUCUAUUCUACUGAAACAAUAUUUUAAAGAAUAAAAUCCUUUUUUUUUUUUUUUUUUGCUUUAAAACAGACCAACCUAGUACAGAUAGGUCAUUCUUGAGUAUUUGUUCAUGCCAUUUGCAUAACAGAGAAUGAGCCCUUUAUGGUCAGUGCAGCAAACACAAUGGAGGUGUUGAUGUGGGGGUGGGAUGGAGAGAUUUUGCCACUGUGACCCAAUCUGCACAAUUGCAAACAACAUUUGGCCUUCUGGAAGCCCCUUCUCUUACUUCCUGGCACAUUCUCUCCUGCCUGACUGCAGGAUGGAAGGACUAUCACUCUAUAGCAUGCUCCAAUGGUGAAUUCUCCUUAUUUCCCACAAAACUAACAAGCAAAAAGGCCCAACUCUUCAUUUCCCAGCGGGUGCUCUCACUAGAAGAACAAAUGAAGUGAGGCGAUUUGCAGUUGGAUGUGAGCCACUGCUCACUGAGCCACUGAUAUGUACAUAUCCAGCGGUGAGCUGGCAUAUCCCCCUCGGAUAUGGCGACGGACAGCAGCUCACACUCUACAUGUGUGGGCGGAGUUUACCCGCCAUCUCCCCCACCCCCAGCCUCCUGUGUUCUCUCUCUCUUGGCUGGGCACAAGCAUGUCACCAAGCAUGCAAGCUACUGAGUGGAUAAUGUGUCCAGGCUUCUCGUCCCCACUGCGUCUUCUAACCUGGUUCUGGCUCAGUUUCCCCAGACUUGCCAUUGGACAUUCUCACUGCCAUUUCAGUGACUGAGCCCAUAGGUCGGCUUGUCAUUUCCUCAACCCAACAGGCUGCUGGUACACACACCAAAUCCCAUUCUGCAUCUUCGGAGCCCUUUGAUUCUUCAGACAUCUCUUCCAUCUGGUUUUCUGUCCUCCUCCCUUCCUCUUGGACCACUGUCUCCUUCUUUGUCCCCUUGUCGCUCUCCCCCUGGACACGCUAAACUGAGGAUUGGGUUUUACAGCACUUCCUAAUCGACUUAAUCUUUUUUCUCCACUGGCUGGUUCUCUGAGGGCAGUUUUGUGCCCAUCUGCCUGUCAUUAGUGCUGGGCACAGAGUAGCUGCUCAGCAAGUGUUAGUUGAGUGCACCGACUGGAUGUGGGCAUUGUAAAAGAUGAACUUGUGAACUCAUUUGCUGAGCUGAGUGGGGGAUGUAUUCCUGACUUUAGUCCCGGUGGGCUUCUAAUAAAUUCCUGUGGAGUUUUGUUGAGUACUGAAAGCAGAAACUUUCCAGUCUUGCUUGGUAAUCCCUCCUCCCUGCUUCCAGCCAGAGGAAUCGUCACCAGCAAUGAGAAACACUAGUUUUUAGUUCGCUGGGUCCUAUUAUAUAUUACGUGACUGAAGCCAAAAUGGCCUCUCACCCCUAAAACUAGAAUCCCUUCAGAAGCCUGCAUCGUGGCUUCAAACCUAUAACUUAAGCCAAAGUGUACAAAUUGUUUCUACAAAUUAAUCAAUCAAUGGAAAUCUAUUAAAUCCUUGCUCUGUGGAUGCCAAAAUGAUUGGGAUUACUGUGAGCAAACAAACAAACAAAAAAAGGAAUUGCUCAAUAAAUACUGGAGUGAUUGGUGUAUUCAUUUGUGAAAAAGUAAUUUUCAACUUUAUUAAAGAAUUAAGUAAAAUAUAAUAACAGGAGGAAACCCAGGUGAAUGUUUAUUCCAUAAAAUCAGAAAUUAUGAGCAAGACAGCUAUUGAGGAGACCAUUUGACCAUAUAAAAACUAAAGUCCUUUGUGUAUCUAUGAGCACAGCCACACAUAUAAAGGCAAAUGCCAUAUCUUAUGGCAUUCAAGACAUCAAUUAUAUGAUGCAUCACUAUAUUAUCAAUGUCACUGAAAGCAGGAAAAAUAACAAACCACCAGUUAAAAUAUGAUAGGCCAACAAUUAUGAAACAUGAAUUGAUUUUAAGGAUGUUAAAAUGUGGGUGGAAAAUGUGCCUCUUGGGAUCGAGGAGGUAUGGUAGCAAACUAGAAAAAAAAAACAUGACAGAAACAUGUCAUCUACUCACCUCCAAUGGGAACAUAACUUAGCACAAUCUUUCUGGAUAUAAUUUAGCAGUUAUGUACCAAGAUUUUUGAAACAUGCAUUCUUUUGACCCACAAAUUUCACUUCUUGGAAUUUGCGCCGAGGAAAUCAUUAAGAAUGUGUAGAAAGAUUAAGCUACAUAUUUGUUCACUGCCAUAAUAUUUAUAAAACCAAGACAUUGGCAUACCUUAAAUGUUCAGAAAUCAGUGAUUAGUUUCUGCAACACAUUAUAGCAUAUCCAUAUCAGGGCACUGCCUUCAGUCAUUAAAAAUGACGCCGUAGAUGAAGAUUAAUUGGCAGGAAAAGAUCUUUGCUGCAUGUUUUGAUUUCAUUUCUCCAAGAAAAUAUCUAUAGAUGUAGCUGUGUAGAUAUGAAUAUACAGAGGAAAAAGCUGGAACUAAAUUUAUAUUAGAGGUGGUUUUUGAGGGUGGUGCUAUAAUGCUAAUUUUAUUUUUAUUUUUUCUCAUAUAUUUUAGUUUCUUUUAAAAAUAUAAUUUAUACUAGCACAAUAAUGAAAUGUUAUGUCUAUUUAAAAUGAAAGUCUGCCUUGAAGAGAUUUAAAAGACUAUUUGACACAUUAAGGGGAGAAUACAAAUGAAAAUUAUUGAAAUAAAAAAUAUAAACUAUGCCCUUGGUUUUAGGCAUUUGUGGAAAAUCAUUUUUCAUGCCAAGUAAUGAACAUUCUGGUAUAAAAACUGGUUUCUCCCUGUUUUAUUGCUACUUUGAUUAAUAACAAGUCAAGUUCCUAUUUGUGUCUCAUGUGUAUAUUAAGACUCUGACCCCUGCAACCAAAUUCAACAAGACCUUGUGAAAAAUUUCAGAAACGAUUCUUGAGAAGUAACCAGGCACUUCGAAAUUAACAAGUAUUCAGUGUAACCUGACCUUCAGUGUCACAUUUUAACAUCUGUUUUUCACGUUGUGAUACUUAUUUGAGAUCUGGUAUUAUUAAGUAAUGAGGAAAAUAUCUGACUGUUACCAUAGGUAACAGAGCAGUAACUUGAGGCGGAUGGAUUGGCAUGCUUUGUCUCUAUAAUGUAAUUCAAAUAAAGUCAUAACAUUAUGGCUAUAGCCUUCAUCCGUCAAGCAUUUAUACAUAUUUUUCCCUCUGAUAAAUGAACUGCUAGGCUUUAUGACUGAUUAAUAAUAGUCCAAUAAAAAGGAAGAGAAACAGCUUUUGGCCUUCCAUUUAAAAUUGCCAUCGGCAGUUUGGAGAUUUAGGUAUAUACGUAAACAUUUUUUAAGUGAUUCUGCAGUGGCAUUUUUUUUUCAAGUGAAAGAACUUUGAGUAUUUUAAAUAAUACUUAUUGAAACGGAUUCCACAUACUUGUGUCCGAGCCAGUGUCCACACUAUUGCCACAAACUCUGGGAACAAGUUCUUAUAAUAUUAGAGACUACAAAAAUAUUUAUUUAUAGUCUUUCUUCCCAAAGACUACAUCAUAUAAAAUUUUUUAAAAACCCCACGGAUAUGAAAGGAGACCACUUUGAAAAGGUGGUUGAAUGUAGCUGCUUCAGCUACUAAGAUAGUUCUGGAGAUUUCCUAGGCAGCAUUCCUAGAGUGGAAAUUUCAUCGAGUUAUUGCAUGCUUCAACUUUGUAGCGUCUCUUCGUUGUCCUUAGGAUAAAGUUCCAGUCCCCUAACAUGGCUUACAGAGCCAUGUGCGAUCUGGCCCUGGCCAGCCUCCCCACCUCAUCCUUCCCUGCCUACUGCUCCCCACUCUACCUUGCUCCUUUCUCUCCUCCUCCUCCUCUUCUUCUCCGUCUUCCUCCUCCUCUCCUCUUUUUUUCUUCUUCACCUGCCACAUCCUCCUCU
Felis catus (domestic cat) is the source of this 5472-nucleotide long non-coding RNA. RefSeq lists it as uncharacterized. The record is from RefSeq and is a predicted model, not a curated record. NCBI's taxonomy places the organism in Eukaryota, Metazoa, Chordata, Mammalia, Carnivora, Felidae. The transcript is spliced from 3 exons.